This 3429-nucleotide long non-coding RNA is filed under the name Homo sapiens (human). Its description in RNAcentral is "non-protein coding lnc-KCNA1-97:15". The record is from RNAcentral. Lineage: Eukaryota; Metazoa; Chordata; Mammalia; Primates; Hominidae.
GGUCGUGUCCCUCAGGGACUUUCCCAUUUACUCUGGAAGACCAAACUUAUAGGCUACACUCUGGGUGCAGACAGUGCUAGUCCUGUGGGGAGUUGGGAAAAAGGAGUGGGAGGCUUUGUGGCCGAGGAGGGGCUUCAGGGCAGCAAGGAUGACGGCUGGGUUUGAACAGUCAGUGGAGAAGGAAGUGUGGAAAGGCCAGAGAAGUAGACAUGGAUGUGUGCAUGCCAGAGAGGGCAGGCAGACAGGGUUCAUGGAGGGGGCAGAAGCAGCACAUUGACCUCUGCUUCUGCCAGAAGAUCAGAGGGGAUAUCGGGGGGGUGGUCUGGCCAGAGUAAGGGCAGCCUUGAAGCCCCGAUGGAAUAAUUUUGACUUGAUUCUAUGGAAAAUGACAUACGACAGUGUAGGAGGGCUUGUCUUCUAACUGAAACCAGCUGGGAAUCUUUCCCAGUAGAGUCAAGGGCAGGGCAGAGCGAGGGCCUUUGGCAGCAUGUGCAAAUGUACAUGCAUGUAACCAUUGUGUGUGGCCCACCAUGCUUUUAAACCUACCUUUACCUCCUCUAGUUCUUCAUAUCUCUUAACCCUCUUGUCUGUGAGCAUCAACAAUCCGGGGCUUACACAGACAACACCACAGUGUGCCAUCUUGCCAGAAGGAGAAACUGAGGCACUCUAUUCUAAAGAGGCUGGUUCUAGGACCUGCCCUUGAAUCACUGUGGAGUAAGACCCAGAGUGUGGGCUGCCAGGCCCCUUCCUUCAGGGAUCUGGCUUCUAAAGUUGGUUCUUUUCCUGUAUCUCAUAAAGAGGGAAAGGAUGGGCCUAAGAGAGGUUAUUUGGACAAAUGGCCAUUGUAAUUGCCUCCUAUCAGACACAGGUGGAUAGAGGCAGGUGUGGGGAAGAGGGCUGCCUGGAUCUGGGAUUCCCAAUCCCCCAUACUCCUUGGCCUAUUGUUGAGGGGGAGCUAGAGGAGGGGUGCGGACUUAGCAGGUUAAGAAAGAUAAACGCUUACUCUUUAACAGUGGGAAAGAGGGACGGAAGAGUAAGAUUGAAAUCUGAGGCAAGAGGAGUGGCCUAACCUGGUGGAGGCAGGAGAGGCGCGUGUCCUCUACAUGCCCGUCCAAGUCCCUGGUAGGUUCGUCCUUGCUCUGAGGGAAGAGUGUGGGCCACAGGCCAUGGGGACACUCUGAGGAUGUGGGUGCUGCCCAUCUUGAAGUUUCUCCCCACCCCUCUCCGGAGCUGCUACCAUUGUCCUUUGCCCUCGGAGUGCUCUCCUCCCACCCCCGCCGCCUCUUGUUCUCUUUCUCCCUUGAGCCGUUAGAAUGGCAGGGAGCCCAGCCAGGGCCUGGACGGCGGCCUCAGCUCCCUGUUCUCAAUAAUUGUGUGUGUGUGCAUGUGUGCAUGUGUACGUGUGAGUGCCUGUGUGUGUGCAUUGUGUGUAGGGGCUGGGGCUGGAGUCGACAACAGAUCAGAGCACAGGAGUAGAGCGCUUCUGGGAGGGUGGGGCCACCCGUGAGUCACGUCCUGCACCCUGGAGCCCAGAGGACCCUUCGCUCAAACCCACCACCAGCUGGCAACACCGGACCAGACCAGCCGGAGCCGCUUUCUUCGCUGCGCAGAGGAGCCUGGGAGAAGCCAGAGGUGUAAGUCAAGCUGUGGAGGGACUGGGUGUGGCUGAGCCCCGUGACAAGUGGGAGGAGCCAGGGAUGCUUGGGAGGGGAGGCACUGUGCGCGAGAGAGGAGGGAAAGGGGAAGCGUUCGUGCCUCUCUGCCCCCUGUCCCCCUCUUGCUGCAUAGUAGCCACAUCCAUGUCUCUUGUACCCUGCAAUCUGGAGGCCACUGCCAGAAGCUGGAAAUCUCAAGUAGAGCAGCAAAAGGUAUGAGGAUUGACACAAAGUUGUGGCCGAUGGAGGCUCCCCAAAGUGCAUGGAAGGUGGUGAUCCAGUGUCUAAAGGCAGGAGUACUGGGGCAACCCCAUAGCUGGGGGUCCUAUGGGAGAGACUGAGGAACUUCGGUUUGUGGACUCUCAGUCAACUGUGUUACUGAGGAGGGGAAAGGAAAGUAGAUGAGUUGGUGGUUUGAACAAGACCCAAAUCUUGCUUCUACUUAUAGGUGCUCACAAUGGCCAGUGCCCUGGAAAAGCUCUGGAAUAAAUACACCUGGGCCUUAGAAAGCAGAGGCAGGAGACAAUGCCAUCCAGUGGGAGCUUUCAUUUGUUUCCUCAGCCAGCCUCUGUGUCAGGCUUUUUGGGAACAAGGGCUGGAUGAACAAGACCUUGGGAGUUCCUGUGGGGAGGGACUGGGGGUGAAUGGGCAGUGUGGCUGGCCCGGUGAUCACUUCUCCUCUGCUUGUCUAGGCUUGAGGAUGGAUUCUUGGCUCCUGGUGCAUUGCCACUCCCUGCCACCCUCCUCCUUGUCUUCUAUCUUCUCCUGGUGGCGUCAGGCCUUGCUUCGUGUCCCAACAGGAGCCUCUGGGGCUGGCACAGCCCUCACUGCCUACAACCUGGGCCUGGUGGUUCUCCUAGGGUGCCUCUGGGAGGUCAUGGUCACCCCGCUGCUGGCUAACUGCAGCUACUUCUGCCAGCCAGUGGACUACAGAUGGAGAAAGCAUGGAAUGAGGGCAUCUUCCUGGAGACAGGAAGGUAGGCACUGUGGAAUCAGCGGUGCGUAGAACAGUGAGGAUUUGGGGCUGAACCCAGCCCAGGUGGGCCAAGCCGUGGCACCAGCCGGACUGCAGUCUGAUGGAACUUCCCCUUCCUGCCCAGCAGAUGGCGAGCGUGUGCUGCUGGUGCCUCUUUCCAAAGGACGUUGAAUUGCUUGACAGGUGUUCUUUACUUUAUGAAUGAAGCCAGAGCAGCCCACCUUCCUGCAUCUCUACCACCAUGGCACCAUGCCCUGUGAUGGGUGGGCUGGAGUCAAAUAUGUAGCAGGCAGCCAGGGUCAGUUUGUGGCCACUGCUGCCCCCUCUUCCUACAGUCUCCUCACUGAGUGCCCCUUCCCUGUUGGGUUCAACACAUCUGUGCUCCUGUAAGCCCUCAGCCUCCUCGUUCUCUUCCUCAACUUCUACCACCAGACACAUCUGAGAAGCAAGCAAGAGAGGCUGAACUAGGAGCAGGACCCAGGGACUGAAACCAGCACAGCAUCCCCACAGAGAAUUGGGUGGAAGGCAGCAUGGCUUCCAGCUUACUGGUGCUGAGCAGAUUGCUCUGGGUCUCCAUUGUAUCCUCUGAAGGAAGGAGGAGGAUUGCCUUCUGUCCAGAUCUCAGGAUCAAACAAAUAGGUCCAAUUUCCUGUGCUCACUUCAGUUAGAGCACUUCUCAUGUGACUUUGUAGCUUUGUGUGCAUCUCCUUCCUCUACUAGACCUAAGCCCCUCACGGGAGGGACUCUCUUAUUCUUGAUGUUCCCCACACCUGGAAUUUCAAUAAACAUCUCAAUAAA